GGACUGUCAGGAUUUCAAGUCUGACUCAGGCCUCACCACAGGCGGUGGGGACCGGCCGGGAAAUCCGACCGGCCUGGCCGCCCUCUCCUGAGUAUCUGGGCCUCGACCUUGCCGCUGAUGAACUCGUCACGUGAACAGUCUCCAUACGCGCCUAGCUUUGUCCCGGGCUUCCCACGUGCCGGCCAGCACCUCGCGCAGCCUUUACUCUGUGCUGAGCACUUCAUGUACAUUGUGUAUUCACCCCCCUCCUCGGCCACUCUGCGGAUGGGGAGACGUGGUGGAAGGUCCUGGCCUGGGGUCCUGCGGCCAGGGAGCAGCAGAGCUGAGCUUUGAACCUGACGCUUGCACUGGAAACCACACACAGACGACCAUGGUGGUGAAAACGAGAGCAACACUUCCUGCGCAUGGUAAGUGAUGACUCUCUCUCGGGCCCAGGAGGGGCUCCUUAGCAGUCCCCAUUAGAGGGAAGAGAAAGUGAGGCCACGCCCGUCAAGGCCAGGGGUGGAAUUUCUCCAUCGCUAGACUCUCUAAUGACCCUCUCUCCACGCCCCCUGCUGCAGCCCCC
This 565-nucleotide long non-coding RNA is filed under the name Mustela putorius furo (domestic ferret). RNAcentral describes it as "lncRNA (ENSMPUG00000024842.1)". Lineage: Eukaryota; Metazoa; Chordata; Mammalia; Carnivora; Mustelidae. The record is from RNAcentral.